GACAGAGGGUGCAAACGUUGUUCGGAAUUACUGGGCGUAAAGCGUGCGCAGGCGGUUAUGUAAGACAGUUGUGAAAUCCCCGGGCUCAACCUGGGAACUGCAUCUGUGACUGCAUAGCUAGAGUACGGUAGAGGGGGAUGGAAUUCCGCGUGUAGCAGUGAAAUGCGUAGAUAUGCGGAGGAACACCGAUGGCGAAGGCAAUCCCCUGGACCUGUACUGACGCUCAUGCACGAAAGCGUGGGGAGCAAACAGG
This 253-nucleotide ribosomal RNA is filed under the name uncultured bacterium. RNAcentral's name for it is "partial 16S ribosomal RNA". It matches the Rfam family "Bacterial small subunit ribosomal RNA", at positions 524 to 776 of the family's 1533-position model. The record is from RNAcentral.